Molecule: non-coding RNA, 19 nt
Filed under: Arabidopsis thaliana (thale cress)
Lineage: Eukaryota; Viridiplantae; Streptophyta; Magnoliopsida; Brassicales; Brassicaceae
Also listed under: 1 other name
Source: RNAcentral
GGACCCGAAAGAUGGUGAA